Drosophila willistoni is the source of this 436-nucleotide long non-coding RNA. RefSeq lists it as uncharacterized. NCBI's taxonomy places the organism in Eukaryota, Metazoa, Arthropoda, Insecta, Diptera, Drosophilidae. The transcript has 3 exons. The record is from RefSeq and is a predicted model, not a curated record.
UGUGACACUAUGACUUUUAAAAAUCACCUAAAAUUUAACUCAUUUAGAGUUAGAGGGCACAUCUAGUGAUUACACGUGCAAACUUUUAUGGGAUUUAAGCCCCUCAGUCAAAAGUCUAAGUUGCCAUGGCUCCCCAAAUUUGAAAUCAUUUCGCAGUUGUAUAUGAAAUAUAGCCAAAUUAUGAGCAGAAUCAAAUAUAUACUUAUUAUCGGGGAACUACCAUAACCUUCUUCAUGCUGAUUCACUACUAAUUGGGACAAAACAAACCCCCAACCCGUUGGCAUUACUUAUACCCAUUUUUUUUUGUGUGAUCUUUGAACAAAGCCAAAUUGAUCCAUAAAUAAUACAAAAUAAUUAUUAUGUACAAAUUUUUGCUUAUGGAUCGAGUAGUCUGAAACCAAAAUCUAGCAAUCUGUCUAAUAAAAGAGUAAAAAAA